CAGGACGAACGCUGGCGGCGUGCUUAACACAUGCAAGUUGAACGGUAUGACAUGGAAGCUUGCUGAAGUGUCAUAUAGUAGCGGACGGGUGAGUAAUGCAUGAGAAGCUGCCAUUGGGAGGGGGACAACAGUUGGAAACGGCUGCUAAUACCCCGUAUGCCGGAAGGUGAAAGGGAGCGAUCCGCCCGAUGAGGUGCUCAUGUCCUAUCAGCUGGUUGGUGGGGUAACGGCCUACCAAGGCGACGACGGGUAGCCGGCCUGAGAGGGUGAACGGCCACACUGGAACUGAGAUACGGUCCAGACUCCUACGGGAGGCAGCAGUGGGGAAUAAUUGGGCAAUGGGGGCAACCCUGACCCAGCGACGCCGCGUGGGGGAAGACGGCCUUCGGGUUGUAAACCUCUUUUGUACGGGAAGAAGGAAGUGACGGUACUGUACGAAUAAGUCCCGGCUAACUACGUGCCAGCCGCGGC
Molecule: ribosomal RNA, 471 nt
Filed under: uncultured bacterium
Lineage: Bacteria
Description: bacterial SSU rRNA
Rfam family: Bacterial small subunit ribosomal RNA
Source: RNAcentral